GGGGCUGUGGCUCAGUGGUAGAGCACUUGCCUAGCAUGUAUGAGGCCCUGGGUUCAAGUCUCAGCACCACA
This 71-nucleotide transfer RNA is filed under the name Marmota monax (woodchuck). Its description in RNAcentral is "tRNA.Ala". It matches the Rfam family "tRNA". Rfam says of the family: Transfer RNA (tRNA) molecules are approximately 80 nucleotides in length. Their secondary structure includes four short double-helical elements and three loops (D, anti-codon, and T loops). Further hydrogen bonds mediate the characteristic L-shaped molecular structure. tRNAs have two regions of fundamental functional importance: the anti-codon, which is responsible for specific mRNA codon recognition, and the 3' end, to which the tRNAs corresponding amino acid is attached (by aminoacyl-tRNA synthetases). tRNAs cope with the degeneracy of the genetic code in two manners: having more than one tRNA (with a specific anti-codon) for a particular amino acid; and 'wobble' base-pairing, i.e. permitting non-standard base-pairing at the 3rd anti-codon position. Lineage: Eukaryota; Metazoa; Chordata; Mammalia; Rodentia; Sciuridae. The record is from RNAcentral.